This 253-nucleotide ribosomal RNA is filed under the name uncultured bacterium. RNAcentral describes it as "partial 16S ribosomal RNA". It matches the Rfam family "Bacterial small subunit ribosomal RNA", at positions 524 to 776 of the family's 1533-position model. RNAcentral also lists the same sequence under 1 other name. The record is from RNAcentral.
UACGUAGGUGGCGAGCGUUAUCCGGAAUUACUGGGCGUAAAGCGCACGCAGGCGGUUCGGCAAGUUCGACGUGAAAACUCCCGGCUUAACUGGGAGAGGUCGUUGAAAACUGCCGAGCUUGAGGCAAUGAGAGGGGUGUAGAAUUCCCGGUGUAGUGGUGGAAUGCGUAGAUAUCGGGGGGAAUACCAGUGGCGAAAGCGGCACCCUAGCGUUGUUCUGACGCUCAUGUGCGAAAGCGUGGGGAGCGAACGGG